UAGAAGUAUACACAAUGCAUCAAGAAGAAACGAGAAGGACGUUGUCGAGCGAGUAAUGUUGAACAGAGUGAGCGGCACCCCUCCCAGCCCUCCCUCUCGUUUUCUGUGCGUCUCUCCCUAUCUGCCGAAAGGAGCGCGCACCAUCAUUU
This is a non-coding RNA of Caenorhabditis elegans, 149 nucleotides long. The record is from Ensembl. Lineage: Eukaryota; Metazoa; Nematoda; Chromadorea; Rhabditida; Rhabditidae.